Molecule: long non-coding RNA, 687 nt
Filed under: Androctonus crassicauda
Lineage: Eukaryota; Metazoa; Arthropoda; Arachnida; Scorpiones; Buthidae
Source: RNAcentral
UGCUAAUUAAAUUUAAAACAUUUAAGUCUUUGACAUUACACUGAUGUUACCACAGUAAUGAUAAAUCAAGCUAAAAUAUAAGAUUAGUUAUUAAUAUAAUAAAAUAAAACAUAAUUAUUAAAAUGGCUGAAAUUAUUAUUAUAAAAGAUUUUUAAAGAUUCAUAUAAACUAGUUGAUGACUGACAUAAUAUAUCCCAUCAAAAGUAAUAGUAUCAUCAUGGAGGAUCACAUGGUAAAGCAGUCUCUUGCUAUCUUGGAGGAAUGGUCCCACAUCUCCAGUUUUACAGGACAGUCCAAGCCCACAUCUCUCCUUUUUAGGUGGUCUGAAUCCAGUUUGUUGAAUCCUAUUCUUCAUUCUUUUCAAUGACAUCAUCACAGAUGAUGCCCAAUCUAAGAUGGGUUUAUAAAGUGCCUGCUAUGAACUGUAUCUCAUCAAAAUCAGAAAUGGAAGCAUUCUAUGAUGUACAAUUCAAUAACUUCAUAAGUGUAUUCAAUAGAGAUAUAAUUAUUUGGAAAAAUUUAUCAGUAUGCUAUAAUCUAUCAAUCUAUGCUAAUUUCAUAAGGUGGGUAAUUUUGCAGAAAUGAUAUUGUUUGUAUUUUUAUACAUGCUGUAUUUUUUAUAACUUUUUAUGAAAUAUUUUUAAAAUAUUACAGUUGAUAUCAAAAUAAUAAUACAAUAAAAGAUUG